CUUGCGCAAUGGGGGAAACCCUGACGCAGCAACGCCGCGCGAGUGAGGAAGGUCUUCGGGUCGUAAAGCUCUGUCAGGCGGGAAGAAAUGCAUGGAGGUGAACAGCCGCCAUGCUUGACGGUACCGCCAGAGGAAGCACCGGCUAACUCCGUGCCAGCAGCCGCGGUAAUACGGGGGGUGCAAGCGUUGUUCGGAAUCAUUGGGCGUAAAGAGCGUGUAGGCGGCUUGGUAAGUCAGAUGUGAAAGCCCUGGGCUCAACCCGGGAAGUGCAUUUGAAACUGCCAGGCUCGAGUAGGGGAGAGGGGAGUGGAAUUCCUGGUGUAGAGGUGAAAUGCGUAGAUAUCAGGAGGAACACCGGUGGCGAAGGCGACUUCCUGGCCGUAUACUGACGCUGAGACGCGAGAGCGUGGGUAGCAAACAG
This 421-nucleotide ribosomal RNA is filed under the name uncultured bacterium. Its description in RNAcentral is "bacterial SSU rRNA". It matches the Rfam family "Bacterial small subunit ribosomal RNA", at positions 363 to 775 of the family's 1533-position model. The record is from RNAcentral.